RNAcentral lists this unclassified non-coding RNA (156 nucleotides) under plant metagenome. Its description in RNAcentral is "partial contains small subunit ribosomal RNA and internal transcribed spacer 1". The stretch from base 1 to 46 matches the Rfam family "Eukaryotic small subunit ribosomal RNA", at positions 1786 to 1831 of the family's 1831-position model. The record is from RNAcentral.
AAGUCGUAACAAGGUUUCCGUAGGUGAACCUGCGGAAGGAUCAUUAGAGAUUGGCCUAACGGCCGUGUCUAUUCCACACACACCGUGAACCGUUUUGGGCUUCGGCCCGCAACAAACAAUGUGUAAUGAAUGUAUAUAAUCGUAAACAAAACAAAA